UUUCCGUAGGUGAACCUGCGGAAGGAUCAUUAAAGUUAUAGUCCCCCGGCCCUCUGGGCUGGGGUCUUCUAUACCACCCUUUGUUUAUUACACCUUUGUUGCUUUGGCAGGCCUGCCCUCGGGCUGCUGGCUCCGGCCGGCUCGCGUCUGCCAGAGGACCUAAACUCUGUUUGUAUAUGAAGUCUGAGUACUAUAUAAUAGUCAAAACUUUCAACAACGGAUCUCUUGGUUCUG
This 234-nucleotide unclassified non-coding RNA is filed under the name plant metagenome. RNAcentral's name for it is "partial contains small subunit ribosomal RNA, internal transcribed spacer 1, and 5.8S ribosomal RNA". The record is from RNAcentral.